AAAUCUGUUAAAAGGUUUCCUCCCCACUGAAGAAUUUAUGCUCAUAUCCCCAAUAGACCUGUUGGACCUUGGUGUAAAAGGAGAUGAAAACCUCCUUUUAGAUGAUGAUUCACUACAAGGAGUGGUGGGGGUGGCACACCUCUCCUUCGGAUUGCUGCUUGGUCUUGCUUUAGCUCUUGCUGAUGCAGUCGGGCUCAUGUAGUUGGGGACCGAAAAUGGUGGGCAGCUCCUCAAGCUAUCAUCGUCCUUCAUUGAAUAAAGAGAAGCUGCUUUUCUUGCUUUGAUCCAUCGGUUUGUGGACCUUGAUGACGUUGGUGUAUUAGGCGUCGUGUCAAGCUGCUUGUGGGUUGAUCUCGAAGGCGUGGUUGCAAACUGAUGGUUCUUUUGAGUAGGGGUGGUGGUGGUAUGAUAAGGCAGUUGUUGUUCCACCCACUUCCACCACAAGGGGUAUCCACUCGUUUUAUGAGCUGAUGAUGGCGUGUCUUUCCGCUGUUGGUGAACAGUUGUUGGAGGUGAGUUAA
This 521-nucleotide long non-coding RNA is filed under the name Helianthus annuus (common sunflower). Its description in RNAcentral is "hypothetical non coding rna". Lineage: Eukaryota; Viridiplantae; Streptophyta; Magnoliopsida; Asterales; Asteraceae. The record is from RNAcentral.